ACGAACGCUGGCGGCGUGCUUAACACAUGCCAGUCGAACGGAAAGGCCUGCUUUCCCUUGUGGAUUGCGGGUACUCGAGUGGCGAACGGGUGAGUAACACGUGAGUGAUCUGCCCCCAACUUGGGUAUAAGCCUGGGAAACUGGGUCUAAUUCCCGAUAGGACUGCAGGGUGGUGCCUGUGGUGGAAAACGAUUUUCUAGUGGUUGGGGAUGAGCUCGCGGCCUAUCAGCUUGUUGGUGGGGUAAUGGCCUACCAAGGCGGCGACGGGUAGCCGGCCGGAGAGGGUGGACGGCCACAUUGGGACUGAGAUACGGCCCAGACUCCUACGGGAGGCAGCAGUGGGGAAUAUUGCACAAUGGGCGGAAGCCUGAUGCAGCGACGCCGCGUGGGGGAUGACGGCCUUCGGGUUGUAAACUCCUUUCGACCGCGAGGAAGCCACCUGGUUGGAAGGGUGGUGACGGUAGUGGUAGAAGAAGCACCGGCUAACUACGUG
Molecule: ribosomal RNA, 493 nt
Filed under: uncultured bacterium
Lineage: Bacteria
Description: partial 16S ribosomal RNA
Rfam family: Bacterial small subunit ribosomal RNA
Source: RNAcentral